This 484-nucleotide ribosomal RNA is filed under the name uncultured bacterium. RNAcentral describes it as "partial 16S ribosomal RNA". It matches the Rfam family "Bacterial small subunit ribosomal RNA", at positions 30 to 507 of the family's 1533-position model. The record is from RNAcentral.
AUUGAACGCUGGCGGCAGGCCUAACACAUGCAAGUCGAGCGGAUGAAGGGAGCUUGCUCCUGGAUUCAGCGGCGGACGGGUGAGUAAUGCCUAGGAAUCUGCCUGGUAGUGGGGGAUAACGUCCUGAAACGGGCGCUAAUACCGCAUACGUCCUGAGGGAGAAAGAGGGGGAGCUUCGGACCGCUCGCUAUCAGAUGAGCCUAGGUCGGAUUGGCUAGUUUGUGGGGUAAAGGCCUACUAAGGCGGCGAUCCGUAACUGGUCUGAGAGGAUGAUCAGGCGCCCUGGAACUGGGACACGGUCCAGGCUCCUACGGGACGCAGCAGUGGGGAAUGUUGGACAAUGGGCGAAAGCCUGAUCCAGCCGUGCCGCGUGUGUGACGAAGGUCUUCGGAUUGUAAAGCACUUUAAGUUGGGGGAAAGCGCAGUAAGUUAAUACCUUGCUGUUUUGACGUUACCAACAGAAUAAGCACCGGCUAACUUCGUG